RNAcentral lists this ribosomal RNA (253 nucleotides) under uncultured bacterium. RNAcentral describes it as "partial 16S ribosomal RNA". It matches the Rfam family "Bacterial small subunit ribosomal RNA", at positions 524 to 776 of the family's 1533-position model. The record is from RNAcentral.
UACGAAGGGGGCAAGCGUUGUUCGGAAUCAUUGGGCGUAAAGGGCGCGUAGGCGGACUUGUAAGUCGAUUGUGAAAUCCCUGGGCUUAACCCGGGAAUUGCAGUCGAAACUGUAAGUCUUGAGUUCUCGAGAGGAUGGUGGAAUUCCUGGAGUAGUAGUGAAAUACGUAGAUAUCAGGAGGAACACCGGAGGCGAAGGCGGCCAUCUGGCGAGACACUGACGCUAAGGCGCGAAAGCCAGGGGAGCAAACGGG